Molecule: ribosomal RNA, 734 nt
Filed under: uncultured bacterium
Lineage: Bacteria
Description: bacterial SSU rRNA
Rfam family: Bacterial small subunit ribosomal RNA
Source: RNAcentral
ACCGGCGCAAGGGUGCGUAACGCGUGAGCAACAUGCCCGUAUCAGGGGAAUAGUCCAGGGAAACUUGGUCUAAUACCCCAUAGUAAAUAUUAAAGGCAUCUUUAAUAUUUUAAAGCUUUGGUGGAUACGGAUUGGCUCGCGUGACAUUAGCUAGAUGGUAAGGUAACGGCUUACCAUGGCUACGAUGUCUAGGGGUUCUGAGAGGAAGAUCCCCCACACUGGAACUGAGACACGGUCCAGACUCCUACGGGAGGCAGCAGUGAGGAAUAUUGGACAAUGGAUGGAAAUCUGAUCCAGCCAUGCCGCGUGCAGGAAGACGGCCCUAUGGGUUGUAAACUGCUUUUAUAUGGGAGCAAUAAGACCUACGUGUAGGUUGAUGAGAGUACCAUAUGAAUAAGCACCGGCUAACUCCGUGCCAGCAGCCGCGGUAAUACGGAGGGUGCAAGCGUUAUCCGGAUUUAUUGGGUUUAAAGGGUGCGUAGGCGGUUUGAUAAGUCAGCGGUGAAAUAUUUCAGCUUAACUGGAAGGGUGCCGUUGAUACUGUCAGGCUUGAAUUUAGUUGCUGUGGGUGGAAUGUGUGGUGUAGCGGUGAAAUGCAUAGAUAUCACACAGAAUAUCGAUUGCGAAGGCAGCUCACAAAGCUAAUAUUGACGCUGAUGCACGAAAGUGUGGGGAUCAAACAGGAUUAGAUACCCUGGUAGUCCACACUGUAAACGAUGAUAACUCGCUGUCGG